UCGAGCGGCAGCGCGGGGGCACCCUGGCGGCGAGCGGCGAACGGGUGAGUAAUGUAUCGGAACGUACCCAGUCGUGGGGGAUAACUAUCCGAAAGGAUAGCUAAUACCGCAUACGUCCUGAGGGAGAAAGCGGGGGACCGUAAGGCCUCGCGCGAUUGGAGCGGCCGAUAUCGGAUUAGCUAGUUGGUGAGGUAAAGGCUCACCAAGGCGACGAUCCGUAGCUGGUCUGAGAGGACGACCAGCCACACUGGAACUGAGACACGGUCCAGACUCCUACGGGAGGCAGCAGUGGGGAAUUUUGGACAAUGGGGGCAACCCUGAUCCAGCCAUUCCGCGUGAGUGAAGAAGGCCUUCGGGUUGUAAAGCUCUUUCAGCAGGAACGAAACGGUGGUCCUUAAUACGGGCUACUAAUGACGGUACCUGAAGAAGAAGCACCGGCUAACUACGUGCCAGCAGCCGCGGUAAUACGUAGGGUGCGAGCGUUAAUCGGAAUUACUGGGCGUAAAGCGUGCGCAGGCGGUUCUAUAAGACAGAUGUGAAAUCCCCGGGCUUAACCUGGGAACUGCGUUUGUGACUGUAGGACUCGAGUGUGGCAGAGGGGGGUGGAAUUCCACGUGUAGCAGUGAAAUGCGUAGAGAUGUGGAGGAACACCGAUGGCGAAGGCAGCCCCCUGGGUCAACACUGACGCUCAUGCACGAAAGCGUGGGGAGCAAACAGGAUUAGAUACCCUGGUAGUCCACGCCCUAAACGAUGUCUACUAGUU
Molecule: ribosomal RNA, 763 nt
Filed under: uncultured bacterium
Lineage: Bacteria
Description: bacterial SSU rRNA
Rfam family: Bacterial small subunit ribosomal RNA
Source: RNAcentral